GACGAACGCUGGCGGCGUGCCUAACACAUGCAAGUCGAACGGGACCAGAUGUCAGACAGCGGACAUCAGAAGACAGAUUACAGAUGGCAGAAUACAGAUUCAGAAGAGGGCGUGGAGGAAACCAAGCCUAGAUUCUAAUAUCCUAAGUCUGAGCAUUAGUAUCUGAACUCUGGUAUCUGGCGUCUGAUGUCUGGUCUAGUGGCGGACGGGUGAGUAACGCGUGAGCAACCUGCCUUACAGAGGGGGAUAACAUUCGGAAACAAAUGCUAAUACCGCAUAACAUAUAUUUACGGCAUCGUAGAUAUAUCAAAGGAGCAAUCCGCUGUAAGAUGGGCUCGCGUCCGAUUAGAUAGUUGGUGAGGUAAUGGCUCACCAAGUCUGCGAUCGGUAGCCGGACUGAGAGGUUGAACGGCCACAUUGGGACUGAGACACGGCCCAGACUCCUACGGGAGGCAGCAGUGGGG
This 464-nucleotide ribosomal RNA is filed under the name uncultured bacterium. RNAcentral describes it as "bacterial SSU rRNA". It matches the Rfam family "Bacterial small subunit ribosomal RNA", at positions 28 to 359 of the family's 1533-position model. The record is from RNAcentral.